Molecule: ribosomal RNA, 459 nt
Filed under: uncultured bacterium
Lineage: Bacteria
Description: partial 16S ribosomal RNA
Rfam family: Bacterial small subunit ribosomal RNA
Source: RNAcentral
CUACGGGUCGCAGCAGUGAGGAAUAUUGGUCAAUGGGCGAAAGCCUGAACCAGCCAUGCCGCGUGAAGGAUGACGGCCCUAUGGGUUGUAAACUUCUUUUAUACGGGAAGAAACACCUCUACGUGUAGAGGUUUGACGGUACCGUACGAAUAAGCAUCGGCUAACUCCGUGCCAGCAGCCGCGGUAAUACGGAGGAUGCAAGCGUUAUCCGGAUUUAUUGGGUUUAAAGGGUACGUAGGCGGAAACUUAAGUCAGUAGUGAAAUCCCGCAGCUUAACUGUGGAACUGUUAUUGAUACUGGGGUUCUUGAAGAUUGUUGAGGUAGGCGGAAUAAGUAAUGUAGCGGUGACAUGCUUAGAUAUUACUUAGAACACCGAUUGCGAAGGCAGCUUACUAAGCAAUUAUUGACGCUGAGGUACGAAAGCGUGGGGAGCGAACAGGAUUAGAUACCCGCGUAGUC